UCCGGUUUGUCACCGGCAGUCUCAUUAGAGUGCCCUUUCGUAGCAACUAAUGACAAGGGUUGCGCUCGUUGCGGGACUUAACCCAACAUCUCACGACACGAGCUGACGACAGCCAUGCAGCACCUGUGUUCAGAUUCUCUUUCGAGCACACCCAAAUCUCUUCGGGCUCUCUGACAUGUCAAGGGUAGGUAAGGUUUUUCGCGUUGCAUCGAAUUAAUCCACAUCAUCCACCGCUUGUGCGGGUCCCCGUCAAUUCCUUUGAGUUUUAAUCUUGCGACCGUACUCCCCAGGCGGUCUACUUCACGCGUUAGCUGCGUUACCAAGUCAAUUAAGACCCGACAACUAGUAGACAUCGUUUAGGGCGUGGACUAC
This 372-nucleotide unclassified non-coding RNA is filed under the name uncultured Gammaproteobacteria bacterium. Its description in RNAcentral is "contains 16S-23S intergenic spacer region". Lineage: Bacteria; Pseudomonadati; Pseudomonadota; Gammaproteobacteria. The record is from RNAcentral.